CGUCAAUCUCGUUGCACCACAGUGAGAACUCCGCCAUCUCUUUCUUAAGAGUUUCCCUUCCGAGAUAAGUCAUCCGCAGGGCUCUGGGUGGGCGAGGAAUGGACAAACCCAUCUAGAGAACAUCCCAGCGGAGCUGGAGAGGAAGAGGAAGGUGAUUCAGUGGCGCAUGGUCUGGCCCCUGUCUGCCAGCCUCUUCCUGAGGUGCUGGCAGAGCUUGGGGGUGGGGGGGCCCAGGCUCCCCAAACCUUAGCCUGGGCUGCACUGCCUUUUCACCUGAACUGUGAUGUCAGGGCCUGGGACCCAGUGGUUUCCUGAAUCUUACAGCCAAAGGAGAUGAUACAAGGGCUGAGAAGAACCUUUGAGGGUCUCUGGUCUAAACCAAGCCCAGAAUAGAGGCCUGACGCCCCUGGGUUUAUUGGUCUCCUCAAGACUCUGGCGGAGGAGGUCUCCAGAGGGCACAUCCCCUCCCUGCAGCCCACAAAGCUGAAACUCUCCUCUGCCUUGACGAGAUGGAGAAACGGAAUGUGAUCUGCUCCUCUUCUGCCAGGAGACGGUGCUGCCUCCUCAGGUUGGACACCCAUGAAGUCAGCCCUGCCCUAGCAUCAAGAGCGAUGCUGGAACUCAAUCCCCAAAGCUGGUCCUGAAAAGUCAAGUUGUCCAGUCCCCUGCCUUCAUGCCAGACCCAUCUCACCUGCCUUCCACAGGUGAGAAUCUCCUUGAGGUUUCAUCGCACGUACCCUUGCCAGGAUCUGCAGGCCUCUGCUUCACACCCUGCUGGGAAAUCCUUCUGAAUGUCUCAAUCUAAGUCUUAGCCCUUUAGGCCCAUUUCCUCUUCUGUCCUCCCUGAAUAUGGGGAACAGCUGGUCCUUUUGAGUAAUUACUUCUUGUUGACUGGGACCCAGUCUGUAAUUCCUUUUCCCUUCCCUCCUCGGGCUGAGUCUCCAGUGCGUUCUUCAACGCUGUGUCCCUCCUCUGAUGCUGUCCCCAGGUGCUCUGUGUGUUGUUG
RNAcentral lists this long non-coding RNA (1006 nucleotides) under Sus scrofa (pig). Its description in RNAcentral is "lncRNA (ENSSSCG00045003437.1)". Lineage: Eukaryota; Metazoa; Chordata; Mammalia; Artiodactyla; Suidae. The record is from RNAcentral.